Gossypium raimondii (Peruvian cotton) is the source of this 911-nucleotide RNA transcript. It is a transcript of the gene named transcription initiation factor TFIID subunit 4b, with no coding region annotated. The transcript has 2 exons. NCBI's taxonomy places the organism in Eukaryota, Viridiplantae, Streptophyta, Magnoliopsida, Malvales, Malvaceae. The record is from RefSeq and is a predicted model, not a curated record.
CUGGCAAGCUUAAACAAUUCCUCUCGUUGUUUUAUGAGAUCCUGGCUCCUGAGCGUGAUCAUCAAUGGUCUACUAAAACAGGGAUUAGAGGCUAUUUGAUCCAACUUUGGGAUUAACCAUUUUGCACAUCAUUUUUCAAACGUUUUAAUGGGGUUGGGGUUCCCUUCCCUACAGUAAAAGGAAAAGGGUAUCAGGUACCUUCUCUAACAUCACCGCUGUUGGUUGAGCCGAGUUCCAAAUAAAAACAUCUAGAAAGGUUAUGCAUGAAGGAGAAAGAGGGAUUCAACUGAAAAUUCCUUUGCAGAAAAAGUUGGCUGAGAUUAGAGAAUACUCUGAUACCCUGCUUGUUGAUCAUACCACGAGGAUCCUGCAAUUACAUGUAAGCCUCGAUACGACUCGGUUAACUCUAAUGUUCUUUCGUAAGAUCUUUCUCAUUUCAAAUGUACCCCAUAGCGGAUGCUGAGAAAACUAUGCACCCAAAGCUUAUCACCUCAGAUACUGGGCAACAAAUCAGGGAACUGAACUGCAAGGCCGAGAAAGAAAAGGACAAAAAGCGGGCUGAAGUGAAGAAGCACCAAAAAUUUAAGGUGGGUCAGGUGCUGUUUGUAUUUGAUGAUAAGAUAUCCAUAGUGCAGAGAAGAAUCCAGAAUGCAUGCACAAAUAGACAUAUGAGAAAACCUGAUUCCAUGGCCGUGUUUCAUCUGUUUCAUCAAAGAUCUGAUUACAGGAGAAUUUUGGAUGUCUUAGCUUAAUUCAUAUGCAAGAGAUCAGCUGGAUAAUUACAUUAGAAGGUUCUAUAUGCGAAUAAUAAAGAUUUAAAUUGUAAGGUUUGGAUCAAUCUUUUUCAGUUCGUUAAGAAUUUUUCGGUUAGAAUAAUAUCCGAAAAGUUAAAUUACUUUUUUAGACCUGAA